AUGACCAGGAGAUCCGCGGUGUUCAAGGCUGCCGCGGCCCCUGCCCGCGACAACCCUGAGCAGCGACUGGACUACGAGCGGGCUGCGGCUCUGGGCGGGCCCGAGGACUAGCCCGGGGCGGCCGAGGCCCACUUCCUCCCCGGGCACCGUAAGCUCAAGGAGCCGGGCCCCUGCUGGCCUCCUCCCAGGGCCGGAGCCCCGCGCUUUCCCCAGCCGGCUGCGGCGGCAAGGGCCGGGGCUUGUUACUCCCGGCCGGGGCGGCCCCGGGGCAGCAGGAAGAGAGCUGGGACGGUUCAGUGCCCUUGCCCUGUCUGCCGCCAGCCACCAAGCAAGCCGGCAUUGGCGGGGAGCCUGCCGCCGCCGCCGGAGCCGGCCGCAGCCCCCGGCCCAAGUAUCAGGCGGUGCUACCCAUUCAGACGGGCUCUCUCGUGGCGGCGGCCAAAAAGCCUACGCCCUGGGCGGGGGACAAGGGUGGGGCGGCCUCCCCCGCUGCCACCGCCUCGGACCCGGGCUGACCCCCACCACUACCUCUGCCCGGGCCGCCACCCCUCGCGCCCACCGCCACCGCUGGGAACCUGGCGGCCAGCGAGGGCAGUUGGAAGAGUAUGAGGAAGAGCCCUCUCCGGGGUGGCGGUGGCUCAGGAGCCUCCAGUCAGGCCGCCUGCUUCAAACAGGUCCUUCUGCUGCAAUUGGACCUUAUCGAACAGCAACAGCUGCAGGCCAAGGAAAAGGAGAUAGAGGAGCUGAAGUCUGAGAGAGACACGCUCCUUGCUCGGAUUGAACGUAUGGAAAGGCGGAUGCAGCUGGUAAAGAAGGAUAAUGAGAAAGAAAGGCACAAGCUGUUUCAGGGCUAUGAAACUGAAGAGAGAGAGGAAACAGAGCUAUCUGAGAAAAUUAAACUGGAGUGCCAGCCGGAGCUUUCCGAGACAUCCCAGACUUUGCCUCCCAAGCCUUUCUCAUGUGGGCGGAGUGGAAAGGGACACAAAAGGAAAUCCCCAUUUGGAAGUACAGAAGGAAAGACUCCUGUUAAAAAGCUGGCUCCUGAAUUUUCAAAAGUCAAAACAAAAACUCCUAAGCACUCACCUAUUAAAGAGGAACCUUGUGGUUCCUUAUCUGAAACUGUAAACGUGAAUUGAGGAGCCAAGAAACCCCAGAAAAGCCCUGGUCUUCAGUGGACACCCCACGAAGACUCUCCACUCCCCAAAAGGGACCCAGCGCCCAUCCCGAGGAGAAAGCCUUCUCAAGCGAGACAGAAGAUUUGCCGUACCUUUCCCCCAUAGAAAUGUAUUUGUGUCGUUGGCACCAGCCUCCCCCAUCACGGUUACCAUUAUGGGAAUCCUCUCCAAAGAAGGAGGAUACUGUAGCAAUUCCUUCUUGGAGGGACCACUCAGUAGAGCCUCUAAGGGACCCAAAUCCUUCAGACCUUUUGGAGAACCUGGAUGACAGUGUGUUUUCAAAGCGGCAUGCAAAACUGGAGCUGGAUGAGAAGAGAAGGAAAAGAUGGGAUAUUCAGAGGAUCAGGGAACAAAGAAUUUUACAGCGACUGCAGUUCAGAAUGUAUAAAAGGAAAGGAAUUCAGGAAUCUGAGCCUGAGGUUACCUAAUUUUUCCCUGAGCCAGAUCAUGUUGAAAGUUUGAUGACUACCCCCUUCUUGCCUGUUGCAGCAUUUGGACAACCAUUACCAAAAUUAACUCCACAGACUUUUGAGCUAAACGCUGGUUGGAUAAGCGUAACAGAUGCAGGUUGGAGAUCCAGAAGAAGCAAACGCCUCACCGGACGUGUAGGAAAUAGCUGUGCUGGUAACAGCCCUGUCUUCAGAUAGUUGUAGCAUGCUAUUCCAGACAGUGGCAGAGACCUGUAUAUGUGACUUUUGUCCUCACAUAUGUUAUCACUCGCUGAUAAUACCCUUUCAUACACCCUUGACUUUGUUUUCAUCACUCUGAUUUCACAAAAAGACUUCCAUUCAGCUAAUUGUGAGUUAUGGAGGGUGAUUGGGAUUUCUUUCCCCUUUUUUGGGAAAUGGACUCUCAAGCUAAAUCUAUAGGAUGGCAGAUUAAGAAGUUUCAGGUGUCUGUUUCUAUACAUUUGCCUAUGUUAAUGGGGUAAAAGGGCUUUCUUCAUUAGACACGUGGAAGAUGCAGCAACCCCUUCCUUCAGAGCUGUGCCUGCAUGGCACUCUCCUCUCCCUGGGACGCCCUCCUUGUAGUGGGUAUAGUGGUUUUUACCCGAAAAUAAAACCAAAAACCUCACCAUGAGCUUUAGGACCAGAUAAGUAAUGACAAGUGAAGCGAUGUGGCAAGUCAUCUUCACAGAGUAGAAAAGACAUCGGACAGUUGGUAGAUAACUGUCUGAAAAGAUAGUUGUUUUCUUGAAACUAUUCUGUGAUAUAGCCACGUGGGAAGGGAUGUUUGACUGUGAUUGUUUUCUUAGUUAAUGGGUAACUGAAUUUGUUUCUCUACCCCUCAAAAAAAAACAAAAUCUUUAGAAAAGAAAAUGGGGGUAGUUGGUUUCAGAACAAGUUACAGCUGUAAACAAAAGCAGUUAGCAUUUGGGAUGGCAUGCCAAAACCUGUACAGAUGUCCUUGUAUCACAUCACUUCUCAAGUAUUCCUUCAUUGGGUUUCUUCCUUCUAGCUGAGCUCUUGAGUAGAGACUUAGGGAGGAUAGGGGGAGAGUGGAAAUAGGUGCUUCCUUUGGCUGGCAAAUGUCUACAUCUUGAAACAAACAGAUGUACCUAAUGACCUUCUCCAUUCACUUUGUAAAAAUAGAUUUGUAUGUGUGCCAUCUUGGUCCUCUCCCCUCCCCUGUUUUGUUAAAAUAUCAGGCUAGCACUCUCAGGCCACUUUCGUCUCAGUGUAAGAUCCCUAUUAACUACCUGAAAGGAAAAUAGAGCCAAGACCUCUGGUCUCAAAUAUAUAGGAAUUGCCUUUCUUUAGUCUUCAGGACUAUUUUGUGAAAACAAGUAGGGGUCUAAUCUCCUAGAAGGUAGGGACUUUUAUCAUUGAAGAGAAUAUGUCCCCAGAUUAUUAGCACUUUUAGAGGAGAAGCCAAGGUAUGUAGGGUGUGUGGCCGGCCCAUCAGUGGAGCAUGAGAGAGAAUGGGAUACCAUUGUGGGAAGAGAAGAAAAGUUCUUCAGGGGCCUCCCACUGCUAAAGCUUUUUGUGAGAUAUUGAUCUGUGCUUCCUGGAUUUUACUUUUAAAGGAAUUCUUCUGGCAGCACAUGGAGUAUUCUUGGAUGAUCUUGCUGCUCUUAUUUCUCCUUUUGUGUGUGUGUGUGUGUGGCUAUGGGUUUUCAUUUGUAACUCCAUCUGCUUAGGAGAGUGGGCUCUCUAUAAGGGAACCUGCUGUAAACUUCGUUGCAGCAAGGAUGUAGAGAGAAGUAGGACUUAAUUCCACUAGGGGAAUUAAGACACACUAAGGUGUGUCUCUCAUCCCACACCUUAAGGAGAAUGAAAUUUCUAGGAAAAACUGGGCCAGAUUGUCUUUGUUCAUCAUUUUAAUGUGGCAGGCUGUUCAGUUUUCUUAUUCUGACCUAUGUUAUAUUUCUUCAUAACGUGUCCAAAAAGAAAAAAGACCCACCCAAUCAGUGUUUCUUGACUUUGUUUUUUGAUCCUUCUCAGUUUCUUCUUGAUUUCAGCAUAUAUUGGAUUCCUAAUUUUGUACACAAGUUAGCAAAUUUAACCAUUAUGUUUGUACCCUACCCAGGGGACUCCCCAAUUUCUGACUUGAACUAGACUGAGAGGAAUCUACGAGGUGCUAUCUGGCCAGACUGAAGGAGAUUCUAUUUCCUUGGUUCUCCCUCUCCCUGAGGACCUCUUACUUUAUUGUCCCCUCUUCUAGGUUAAUUCUCCUUUGAUUUGACUUUGUUGAGAAGGAGGUUGGAGAGUAGAUUAGUAAAGUUCCAAGAGCAAAAUUACAGUGUCUUAGAGUGUGGGGGGAAAAUUAGUCUUAUUUUUCCCUACAUGGGAUACAACACUGUGAAUUCAAUCUUCAACUGAAGGCCCUGCAGUUCUCCUAAAACAUAGUUGUUUGUUUUUCUUUAACAAAGUUGAAGCUAGUUUUAAUAAAUUAAAAAAAAAAA
Sapajus apella (tufted capuchin) is the source of this 4080-nucleotide RNA transcript. It is a transcript of the gene named male-specific lethal 1 homolog pseudogene, with no coding region annotated. Lineage: Eukaryota; Metazoa; Chordata; Mammalia; Primates; Cebidae. The transcript has a single exon. The record is from RefSeq and is a predicted model, not a curated record.